GGAGGAAGGUCCUUGGAUUGUAAACCUCUUUUAUCAGGGAAGAAGUUCUGACGGUACCUGAUGAAUAAGCAUCGGCUAACUCCGUGCCAGCAGCCGCGGUAAUACGGAGGAUGCAAGCGUUAUCCGGAAUUAUUGGGCGUAAAGCGUCCGUAGGUGGUUUUUCAAGUCUGCUGUUAAAGAAUGGAGCUUAACUCCAUAGGAGCGGUGGAAACUGAGAGACUAGAGUACAGUAGGGGUAGCAGGAAUUCCCAGUGUAGCGGUGAAAUGCGUAGAUAUUGGGAAGAACAUCGGUGGCGAAAGCGUGCUACUGGGCUGAAACUGACACUGAGGGACGAAAGCUAGGGUAGCGAAAGGGAUUAGAUACCCCUGUAGUCCUAGCCGUAAACGAUGGAUACUAGGCGUGGCUUGUAUCGACCCGAGCCGUGCCGAAGCUAACGCGUUAAGUAUCCCGCCUGGGGAGUACGCACGCAAGUGUGAAACUCAAAGGAAUUGACGGGGGCCCGCACAAGCGGUGGAGUAUGUGGUUUAAUUCGAUGCAACGCGAAGAACCUUACCAAGGCUUGACAUCCCUGGAAUCCUGCGGAAACGUGGGAGUGCCUUAGGGAGCCAGGAGACAGGUGGUGCAUGGCUGUCGUCAGCUCGUGUCGUGAGAUGUUGGGUUAAGUCCCGCAACGAGCGCAACCCUCGUUUUUAGUUGCCAUCAUUAAGUUGGGCACUCUAGAGAGACUGCCGGUGACAAACCGGAGGAAGGUGGGGAUGACGUCAAGUCAUCAUGCCCCUUACGCCUUGGGCUACACACGUACUACAAUGGUCGGGACAACGGGCAGCGAGCUCGCGAGAGUAAGCGAAUCCCAUCAAACCCGGCCUCAGUUCAGAUUGCAGGCUGCAACUCGCCUGCAUGAAGGAGGAAUCGCUAGUAAUCGCAGGUCAGAAUACUGCGGUGAAUUCGUUCCCGGGCCUUGUACACACCGCCCGUCACACCAUGGGAGCUGGUCACGCCCGAAGUCGUU
RNAcentral lists this ribosomal RNA (1010 nucleotides) under Synechocystis salina LEGE 06099. RNAcentral's name for it is "bacterial SSU rRNA". It matches the Rfam family "Bacterial small subunit ribosomal RNA", at positions 406 to 1431 of the family's 1533-position model. Lineage: Bacteria; Bacillati; Cyanobacteriota; Cyanophyceae; Synechococcales; Merismopediaceae. The record is from RNAcentral.